AAUCGACAAGAUCCUAGGAAGUUGAAAGAUUCGAAGAGAGAGUUCAAGACUACGUGAAACCGUCCAGAGGUAAACGGGUGGAUCCGCAAAGUCGGCCCGCGGAAUUCAGCUCGGAAGGUCGGCGUGCGCGUCGCUGGGUCGGAGAUCGGUAACGACUCUCCCGGUGGCGUGACGCGUCCCGUCCGUGUGCACUUUCCGCGGGCAGAGCGCCACGACCGGUUCUCGAGCGGUCAGAAGGCGGCCGGGGAUGGUAGGCGCACGCUUCGGCGUGCGCUGGUAUAGCCCUGGCCUGUCCCGAUCCGCUUGGGGACCGAGGAGCCGCCGUCGGCGUAGGCCGCCUCGCUCUCCCGGGAUGUUUCGACUAGCAGAGACUGGGCAACCGUGUCUGCUGACCGCUUCCUUGGAUGGACGGGGUGGGCCGCCGGCACAGGGAUCGGAUGGCGAUC
This 446-nucleotide ribosomal RNA is filed under the name Pleurobranchus sp. DTLT2001. RNAcentral describes it as "partial 28S ribosomal RNA". Lineage: Eukaryota; Metazoa; Mollusca; Gastropoda; Pleurobranchida; Pleurobranchidae. The record is from RNAcentral.